RNAcentral lists this transfer RNA (28 nucleotides) under Anthracoceros albirostris (Oriental pied-hornbill). RNAcentral's name for it is "partial tRNA-Phe". Lineage: Eukaryota; Metazoa; Chordata; Aves; Bucerotiformes; Bucerotidae. The record is from RNAcentral.
GUUCCCGUAGCUUACAUCAACUAAAGCA